GAUGAACGCUGGCGGCGUGCCUAAUACAUGCAAGUCGAGCGAACAGACGAGGAGCUUGCUCCUCUGACGUUAGCGGCGGACGGGUGAGUAACACGUGGAUAACCUACCUAUAAGACUGGGAUAACUUCGGGAAACCGGAGCUAAUACCGGAUAAUAUAUUGAACCGCAUGGUUCAAUAGUGAAAGACGGUUUUGCUGUCACUUAUAGAUGGAUCCGCGCCGCAUUCGCUAGUUGGUAAGGUAACGGCUUACCAAGGCAACGAUGCGUAGCCGACCUGAGAGGGUGAUCGGCCAGACGGGAACUGAGACACGGUCCAGACUCCUACGGGAGGAAGCAGUAGGGAAUCUUACGCAAUGGGCGAAAGCCUGACGGAGCAACGCCGCGUGAGUGAUGAAGGUCUUCGGAUCGUAAAACUCUGUUAUUAGGGAAGAACAAAUGUGUAAGUAACUAUGCACGUCUUGACGGUACCUAAUCAGAAAGCCACGGCUAACUACGUG
RNAcentral lists this ribosomal RNA (497 nucleotides) under uncultured bacterium. RNAcentral's name for it is "partial 16S ribosomal RNA". It matches the Rfam family "Bacterial small subunit ribosomal RNA", at positions 28 to 507 of the family's 1533-position model. The record is from RNAcentral.